This is a long non-coding RNA of Vidua chalybeata, 185 nucleotides long. RefSeq lists it as uncharacterized. The record is from RefSeq and is a predicted model, not a curated record. The transcript has 3 exons. Lineage: Eukaryota; Metazoa; Chordata; Aves; Passeriformes; Viduidae.
AGGUGUGCCCAGGUGUAUUUUGGGCGUGCCCAGGUGUAUUUUGGGUGUAUUUUGGGUGUGCCCAGGUGUGCCCAGGUGUAUUUUGGGUGUGCCCAGGUGUAUUUUGGGUGUGCCCAGGUGUAUUUUGGGUGUGCCCAGGUGUAUUUUGGGUGUGCCCAGGUGUGCCCAGGUGUGCCCAGGUGUAU